GAUGAACGCUGGCGGCGUGCCUAAUACAUGCAAGUCGAGCGAACAGACGAGGAGCUUGCUCCUCUGACGUUAGCGGCGGACGGGUGAGUAACACGUGGAUAACCUACCUAUAAGACUGGGAUAACUUCGGGAAACCGGAGCUAAUACCGGAUAAUAUAUUGAACUGCAUGGUUCAAUAGUGAAAGACGGUUUUGCUGUCACUUAUAGAUGGAUCCGCGCCGCAUUAGCUAGUUGGUAAGGUAACGGCUUACCAAGGCAACGAUGCGUAGCCGACCUGAGAGGGUGAUCGGCCACACGGGAACUGAGACACGGUCCAGACUCCUACGGGAGGCAGCAGUAGGGAAUCUUCCGCAAUGGGCGAAAGCCUGACGGAGCAACGCCGCGUGAGUGAUGAAGGUCUUCGGAUCGUAAAACUCUGUUAAUAGGGAAGAACAAAUGUGUAAGUAACUAUGCACGUCUUGACGGUACCUAAUCAGAAAGCCACGGCUAACUACGUG
RNAcentral lists this ribosomal RNA (497 nucleotides) under uncultured bacterium. Its description in RNAcentral is "partial 16S ribosomal RNA". It matches the Rfam family "Bacterial small subunit ribosomal RNA", at positions 28 to 507 of the family's 1533-position model. The record is from RNAcentral.